Camelina sativa (false flax) is the source of this 587-nucleotide long non-coding RNA. RefSeq lists it as uncharacterized. NCBI's taxonomy places the organism in Eukaryota, Viridiplantae, Streptophyta, Magnoliopsida, Brassicales, Brassicaceae. The record is from RefSeq and is a predicted model, not a curated record.
UGUGUGUUCCUUCAGGGCGUUUUUUUUUGGGUUUUGGUGGGAUACUAAUUUCAUCAACUUCUCCAUCCAGAAAUAAGGGAAUGAUGGACUGUUUGUACGCAAAAUAUGAGCUGUUUGGAUAGGAUUGUGAAGGAUCUCCCCGAUUUGAAAGACCACCUUUGUGUACACAAAGGGACACCUGCUGAUGACUGUCUUGUGGACAGAGUUACUCUGCACAAGUGCUUCAUAGUGGCUUACUUGUGACAGAGAUCUAAAGCGAAGGUUUCUCAAGAAUGUUAACUUCAUUAUGUUUUAAAGCUAGUAAUCAUGUAUGUGACGCAAUGCAAGUACUCAAUAGAGAAGUUGCCUGAAGCAAGCAACAAUCAUGUAUGUGGGGCUCCAAGAUACUGAUAAAGGAACAAAGACCCAUAAUGAUUCAAGAAGAUUUUUGGGAAGCCUUAGUUAGUGUUGGUUUAAGCUCUUGCGCUGUUGUAUUAUGCGAUAUUGAGCCAUUUUUUGUUUUAUUCUGUCCUCUAUUUGAUAAUGUUAUUGCACUUGUAAGCUAAUAUAACACAUUUCUUUAAGCUAAUAUAAGACAUUUCUUUUCU